CGCCUCCUGCCCCGCCCAUCAUAGGAGGUCUUGCCUGCACAAUGACCUGCGGGUUAAAUUGCCGCGGUACCCUGACCGUGCUAAGGUAGCGUAAUCACUAGCCUAUUAAUUGUUGGCCUGUAUGAAUGGCUCGACGCUGGUAACACUGUCUCUGUUGUGUUUUAUUGAAUUUGACCUCUUGGUGAAAAGGCCAGGAUGCCCCUAAAAGACGACAAGACCCUGUCGAACUUCAGGCUACCCUGCGACGGCUGAUAAGGCUUAAUCGCAGCAGAACCUUUGGUUGGGAAAACCGGGGACCAAACAAAACGUCCACCCCCACAACAGCUUAAGUCCAAGGAAAAGUAAGCUUUUUUGUUAAUCGAAGUGCGCCUGACAAGGCACAUUCAACUUUUGUCGGAUCCAAGGCCUCAAACCUUGAUCAUGGGAAAAGUUACCGCAGGGAUAACAGCGUAAUCCUCCCGGCGAGACCACAUUAAGGGGGGGGUUUGCGACCUCGAUGUUGGCUUAAGGCUUCCCAGAAGUGCAGGAGCUUCUAAAGGUUGGUCUGUUCGACCACUAACGCCUUACAU
This 569-nucleotide ribosomal RNA is filed under the name Patelloida insignis. RNAcentral describes it as "partial 16S ribosomal RNA". It matches the Rfam family "Bacterial large subunit ribosomal RNA", at positions 1817 to 2601 of the family's 2925-position model. Lineage: Eukaryota; Metazoa; Mollusca; Gastropoda; Lottiidae. The record is from RNAcentral.